UGGAUCCAGACUUUGAUUAUGGCUCAGGAUGAACGCUAGCUACAGGCUUAACACAUGCAAGUCGAGGGGAAACGAUAGAGAAAGCUUGCUUUUUCUAGGCGUCGACCGGCGCACGGGUGAGUAACGCGUAUCCAACCUGCCCACCACUUGGGGAUAACCUUGCGAAAGUAAGACUAAUACCCAAUGAUAUCUCUAGAAGACAUCUGAAGGAGAUUAAAGAUUCAUCGGUGAUGGAUGGGGAUGCGUCUGAUUAGCUUGUUGGCGGGGUAACGGCCCACCAAGGCUACGAUCAGUAGGGGUUCUGAGAGGAAGGUCCCCCACAUUGGAACUGAGACACGGUCCAAACUCCUACGGGAGGCAGCAGUGAGGAAUAUUGGUCAAUGGGCGAGAGCCUGAACCAGCCAAGUAGCGUGCAGGAUGACGGCCCUAUGGGUUGUAAACUGCUUUUAUAAGGGAAUAAAGUGAGCCUCGUGAGGCUUUUUGCAUGUACCUUAUGAAUAAGGACCGGCUAAUUCCGUGCCAGCAGCCGCGGUAAUACGGAAGGUCCGGGCGUUAUCCGGAUUUAUUGGGUUUAAAGGGAGCGUAGGCCGGAGAUUAAGCGUGUUGUGAAAUGUAGAUGCUCAACAUCUGCACUGCAGCGCGAACUGGUUUCCUUGAGUACGCACAAAGUGGGCGGAAUUCGUGGUGUAGCGGUGAAAUGCUUAGAUAUCACGAAGAACUCCGAUUGCGAAGGCAGCUCACUGGAGCGCAACUGACGCUG
Molecule: ribosomal RNA, 760 nt
Filed under: uncultured Bacteroidota bacterium
Lineage: Bacteria; Pseudomonadati; Bacteroidota
Description: bacterial SSU rRNA
Rfam family: Bacterial small subunit ribosomal RNA
Source: RNAcentral